CUCUCUGCUGCCUGGGCUAAUGGUGCUAGUAAUGCCUUUGGGGGAACAUGGCAUGAAACACAGAGGCGGGCGCUAAUGAGUCUAGCGGACCUCUCCGGCACACAGGAUGAAUGAGAGCAAUGGAGAGAGAAGACGCUGAAAGGGAAGAAGGAGCCGCACUUGGUGGAAGACGUAUUCCUUUUAAAUUCCACGGCAAAUGAGGGGGAUCGGUCGAUUCCAGCAACUCAGGGAUGUCAGCAGUCGAUGCAGCAGCCUCGGAUGCCGACUCCAGGCCUCCACUCCUCAAACCGCUGCUGCUGCAGUAAAGCGGCUCUCGCCUGCUUUGAGUUCCUGUUUCCCCGUGUUUUCUGGCUGCCAGACGUCCAUCAUGCAGCAGGUCUUCCUCCUCCAAGCGCGGUCCCAUCAUAUGAAUUAUUGGAGGAUUCCCAUAUUUUCCACCCAUUUGCAGAGGCGUUGCAACACUCCCACUCCUCCCAGUGAAAGCAGACCCAUAACUAUCAAUGGGCAAAUGAGAGGCACGAUUCCUGUCGACAGAGGAGCUCAUAUCAUUGGGGGUGUAAAACGGACAUGGCUGGAAAGGGAACGCA
This 587-nucleotide long non-coding RNA is filed under the name Betta splendens (Siamese fighting fish). Its description in RNAcentral is "lncRNA (ENSBSLG00000021913.1)". The record is from RNAcentral. Lineage: Eukaryota; Metazoa; Chordata; Actinopteri; Anabantiformes; Osphronemidae.